UGUAGGGAAUCUGGGAAAAUUUACAUACACGUAUAAAAAUAAACUUCACUCCGAAUCGUUUUUCGUUAGCAGUGAUUUAUCGUUGCGUACAAAUAUAUAUUAAAUUCCCUACUAUACCCUACCCUCUCAACUUUUCACCUAAAAUCAGUGGUCCGCCCGCCGUGCGGAGUAUGUCCGAUUAUUCUCUUUCUUAUUAUUCGUUCGUCGGUCUCAGUAAACAGUUACAAUUCCACAAAUUGCUCACAGAAUCGUUUUUCUUUUUGAUCACGAGGCGUUAAUUUUAUGUACGGUUUUUUUUCUCCAAGUUUCUGCACUAUUUAGUUUACACUAUUUCUGCUUUAUUUAGCCAUAUAGGUAACAAUGGGCCGUAUCGUACGUUACACGCUACAAUAAGAUUUAUAUUAAUAAAAUUAUCGUUUUUUUUUUUUCGAGAACUCCGAAUACAGUGCAGCAUGCACAAAACAAGAUAAUAAUGAUAACGGUAGAUUGUGUACGAUGUGAAUGUGUUCAAAGGCAUAUAUUAGUUUGGAAUACUUAAAUAACGAGUGACACUAGUAUAAUGUAUGCGUGAUGUAGCAAUAUUAUAGGUGGAUUUCGCGAAACAAUAAAAUUAACAAUU
Molecule: non-coding RNA, 619 nt
Organism: Cinara cedri
Lineage: Eukaryota; Metazoa; Arthropoda; Insecta; Hemiptera; Aphididae
Source: the annotation of a GenBank genome assembly